Molecule: small nuclear RNA, 164 nt
Filed under: Neotoma lepida (desert woodrat)
Lineage: Eukaryota; Metazoa; Chordata; Mammalia; Rodentia; Cricetidae
Description: U1 spliceosomal RNA
Rfam family: U1 spliceosomal RNA
About the family: U1 is a small nuclear RNA (snRNA) component of the spliceosome (involved in pre-mRNA splicing).
Source: Rfam by way of RNAcentral
AUACUUACCGCCAGGGAAGAUAUCAUGAUCACUAAGGUGGUUUUCCCAAGCAGAGGCUUAUCCAUUUCACUCCACAUGUGCAGACCCCUGCGAUUUCCCCAAGCAUGGGAAACUUGACUGAAUAAUUUGUGGUAGUGGAGAGACUGCGUUUGUGCUCUCCCCUA